AAAUGUUCUGGAACCAGAAAGAGGGAAAGAGAAAUAUUCUCAGCAAGAAUGACCCAAGAAGAGGGAUGUCCCAGGACGCCCCCAAAGCACUGUAACCUCAAAAACUCAUCAAUGAACCACACCCCUGGCAGGCGUGUGUCUUACCA
This is a long non-coding RNA of Eubalaena glacialis (North Atlantic right whale), 146 nucleotides long. RefSeq lists it as uncharacterized. NCBI's taxonomy places the organism in Eukaryota, Metazoa, Chordata, Mammalia, Artiodactyla, Balaenidae. The record is from RefSeq and is a predicted model, not a curated record. The transcript has 3 exons.